UGGGGAAUAUUGCGCAAUGGGCGAAAGCCUGACGCAGCAACGCCGUGUGAGGGAUGAAGGCUUUCGGGUCGUAAACCUCUGUCAGAAGGGAAGAACGGGCAUUGGUCUAAUAGGCCUUUGUUUUGACGGUACCUUCAGAGGAAGCACCGGCUAACUCCGUGCCAGCAGCCGCGGUAAUACGGAGGGUGCAAGCGUUAUUCGGAAUUACUGGGCGUAAAGCGCACGUAGGCCGCUUUGUAAGUCAGGGGUGAAAUCCCACGGCUCAACCGUGGAACUGCCCUUGAAACUGCGAAGCUUGAAUCCUGGAGAGGGUGGCGGAAUUCCUGAUGUAGGAGUGAGAUCCGUAGAUAUCAGGAGGAACACCGGUGGCGAAGGCGGCCACCUGACAGGUAUUGACGCUGAGGUGCGAAAGUGUGGGGAGCAAACAG
Molecule: ribosomal RNA, 428 nt
Filed under: uncultured bacterium
Lineage: Bacteria
Description: bacterial SSU rRNA
Rfam family: Bacterial small subunit ribosomal RNA
Source: RNAcentral